AAGGAAGAGUUAAUACCGCAUAAGAUUGUAGUAUCGCAUGAUAUAGCAAUUAAAGGAGCAAUUCGCUAUAAGAUGGACCCGCGUCGCAUUAGCUAGUUGGUGAGGUAAUGGCUCACCAAGGCGACGAUGCGUAGCCGACCUGAGAGGGUGAUCGGCCACAUUGGGACUGAGACACGGCCCAGACUCCUACGGGAGGCAGCAUG
RNAcentral lists this ribosomal RNA (203 nucleotides) under uncultured bacterium. Its description in RNAcentral is "partial 16S ribosomal RNA". It matches the Rfam family "Bacterial small subunit ribosomal RNA", at positions 154 to 353 of the family's 1533-position model. The record is from RNAcentral.